AACUGCCUUGCGGCACGCGCCCUCGAUGAACGCUAUCUGCAGCCGGACAAUGAUUAGAAAGACCAGCUUGCUUCGUAAGAUCGUUCCGAUAGCGAGGCGGUCAAGCUUCGCUAAAAGGAUCAUUUACAACUCGCUUGUCUCUCCAGAAGCAGCCUUGUGAGCUACCCUUGAAAGACGCACGAGCGCCGAAAUGAUCCGGAGAUAAUGAAGUCUCGCGUAGCAAUUGCUUGCUGCACGAUCCAACUCGGAUCGAUCUCCUCUUUACGAUGUCAGAAAUCACGCAACUUGCUGUCUAUCCAGACUAGCAAGAUGCGAAGUGAUGUUUCGCGGACGAUUUAGGUGCACGAUCAGUCGAUGAUCAAACCAUCUGGUGGAGCCAGACGGGAUCGAACCGACGACCUCAUGCUUGCAAAGCACGCGCUCUCCCAGCUGAGCUAUGGCCCCGUAACCAGAAGACGAAUGCUCACUCGAUGAAAGUGGUGGGCCUGGGAAGACUUGAACUUCCGACCUCACGCUUAUCAAGCGCGCGCUCUAACCAACUGAGCUACAAGCCCCUAACGCAUAUCCAGUCAAGGACCAGGGACUCUGCAAACCUGCAGCCCCAGCGCGUGUUCGUCCGCGAAGAAAGAGAAACGAAGACGGCGAAAUCCCGCCAAUGCAGCUCAACAAUCCUGACGAUUGUUGGCCACUGAUGUUUCUAAAACGAUCCGAUAGUGAGCCGAAGCUCGCUGAAGGAUCAUCCUUAGAAAGGAGGUGAUCCAGCCG
Molecule: transfer RNA, 765 nt
Filed under: Bradyrhizobium sp.
Lineage: Bacteria; Pseudomonadati; Pseudomonadota; Alphaproteobacteria; Hyphomicrobiales; Nitrobacteraceae
Description: partial miscellaneous RNA
Source: RNAcentral